ACAGCAUGGUGUGGGUACUUCUUGAUCAGUUCCUUCAACCUCUCCCAAGUCUUAUGAAAUAUUUCUCUAUCCAUCUAGAAUAAACUAGUUAUUGCUUUUCGAAUUU
This is a small nucleolar RNA of Elaeis guineensis (African oil palm), 106 nucleotides long. NCBI's taxonomy places the organism in Eukaryota, Viridiplantae, Streptophyta, Magnoliopsida, Arecales, Arecaceae. The record is from RefSeq and is a predicted model, not a curated record.